This 433-nucleotide ribosomal RNA is filed under the name uncultured bacterium. RNAcentral describes it as "partial 16S ribosomal RNA". It matches the Rfam family "Bacterial small subunit ribosomal RNA", at positions 29 to 507 of the family's 1533-position model. The record is from RNAcentral.
AACGAACGCUGGCGGCGUGCCUAACACAUGCAAGUCGAACGAAAAGUCCGGGUCUAGUGGCGCACGGGUGCGUAACGCGUGGGAACCUGCCCUUAGGUUCGGAAUAACUACCAGAAAGGGGUGAUAAUACCGGAUAAUGUCUACGGACCAAAGAUUUAUCGCCUUUGGAUGGGCCAGCGUUGGAUUAGCUAGUUGGUAGGGUAAAAGCCUACCAAGGCGACGAUUCAUAGCUGGUUUGAGAGGAUGAUCAGCCACACUGGGACUGAGACACGGCCCAGACUCCUACGGGAGGCAGCAGUGGGUAAUAUUGGACAAUGGGCGAAGUCCUGAUCCAGCAAUGCCGCGUGAGUGAUGAAGGCCUUAGGGUUGUAAAGCUCAUUUACCCGGGAUGAUAAUGACAGUACCGGGAGAAUAAGCUCCGGCUAACUCCGUG